This 442-nucleotide ribosomal RNA is filed under the name uncultured Prevotella sp. RNAcentral describes it as "bacterial SSU rRNA". It matches the Rfam family "Bacterial small subunit ribosomal RNA", at positions 355 to 794 of the family's 1533-position model. The record is from RNAcentral. Lineage: Bacteria; Pseudomonadati; Bacteroidota; Bacteroidia; Bacteroidales; Prevotellaceae.
UGAGGAAUAUUGGUCAAUGGGCGAGAGCCUGAACCAGCCAAGUAGCGUGCAGGACGACGGCCCUAUGGGUUGUAAACUGCUUUUGCGCGGGGAUAAAGUGCGCCACGUGUGGCUCAUUGCAGGUACCGCGCGAAUAAGGACCGGCUAAUUCCGUGCCAGCAGCCGCGGUAAUACGGAAGGUCCGGGCGUUAUCCGGAUUCAUUGGGUUUAAAGGGAGCGUAGGCCGGAGAUUAAGCGUGUUGUGAAAUGUAGUGGCUCAACCUCUGCACUGCAGCGCGAACUGGUCUUCUUGAGUACGCACAACGUGGGCGGAAUUCGUGGUGUAGCGGUGAAAUGCUUAGAUAUCACGAAGAACUCCGAUUGCGAAGGCAGCUCACGGGAGCGCAACUGACGCUGAAGCUCGAAAGUGCGGGUAUCGAACAGGAUUAGAUACCCUGGUAGU